GAUGAACGCUAGCGGCGUGCCUAAUACAUGCAAGUCGAGCGAACCACUUCGGUGGUGAGCGGCGAACGGGUGAGUAACACGUAGGUUAUCUGCCCAUCAGACGGGGACAACGAUUGGAAACGAUCGCUAAUACCGGAUAGGACGAAAGUUUAAAGGUGCUUCGUCACCCCUGAUGGAUGAGCCUGCGGCGCAUUAGCUAGUUGGUAGGGUAAAGGCCUACCAAGGCGACGAUGCGUAGCCGACCUGAGAGGGUGAACGGCCACACUGGGACUGAGACACGGCCCAGACUCCUACGGGAGGCAGCAGUAGGGAAUCUUCGGCAAUGGGCGAAAGCCUGACCGAGCAACGCCGCGUGAAUGAUGAAGGCCUUCGGGUUGUAAAAUUCUGUUAUAAGGGAAGAAUGGCUUUAGUAGGAAAUGGCUAGAGUGUGACGGUACCUUAUGAGAAAGCCACGGCUAACUACGUGCCAGCCGCCGCGGUAA
Molecule: ribosomal RNA, 482 nt
Filed under: uncultured bacterium
Lineage: Bacteria
Description: partial 16S ribosomal RNA
Rfam family: Bacterial small subunit ribosomal RNA
Source: RNAcentral